Gasterosteus aculeatus aculeatus (three-spined stickleback) is the source of this 2709-nucleotide long non-coding RNA. The record is from Ensembl. Lineage: Eukaryota; Metazoa; Chordata; Actinopteri; Perciformes; Gasterosteidae.
AAGUUCAUCCUCUCCACAGGUGUGCUAUAAGCUGUUGAGACACAUUACUUCUUUUACCUGGAGCUAUGGCUGCUACCGGGAACCAGAUGAAUAAAUACAUUUUUUCCGACUUCCACUGGAUGCACUGGAUGAGGAGGGUCCACCCCGCUGCGCGCUGUUCUCAAAAAGGAACCUACAACUUUUCAAUAUCAGCCCUACUGGCAAAAACACAACAACACAGCAUGUUGCUCCAAGUCUAUUUAUCAGCUUUAUUGUAGUAAGCCUAACAAACAUCAUAACAUCUGCAGACACAUGCAACCGUGUCUCUCAUCCAUGACUGACUCCCUGGUUGUAAUCUACUGACCUCAUCUGGUAUUUUUCAGAAACUCAAGUCAAUUGGAUGUAAACGUGUUCCAUUCUGCUGAUCAGAUAUGAAAAAGACUGAUUUUUCACAUUUUUAACAAAUUAUUUUGCAGCAGGCUGAGCAGUCAUGGUUCUAAAAGGCUUGCGUGUGUUGCAGAGCAAUUCACCGCUAGAACAACAGGCGGAGUGACGUGUUUUAGUUGAAGACGACCUAGAGAGUCACAUCUAUUUAUUUAUUUGUUUGUUUCUUUAUCAUAGACUUUAUUGCCCCGUGCAUCGCCACUGCUGCUUUUCAUCGCAGACACAUUUGUCCCGUAUUUUCCUCCACAACUUUGCGCACCUCUCGACCGGCAAACCGGCGUUUGCGGCGAUCUCCCUCCGUGAAUCAACCCGCUUCUACAACCCGCCAAUGACGGCUUGUAUAAGCGGUCAUAUUUACGCAUUUCUUCCGACAAAAGUUCUGCAAUCUGAUCCGUUCUCUCGAAAACAUUCUUCGUUUUAAUAAUGGCGGUGUCGGGCUAUGAAAGCGGAAAUAUGAGACUCCGCAAAGGACGUAGUUAGCGGACCAAUCGCAGCCUGGUGCGCUGCGGGAGGCCUAGAAAAUGUCUCGACACACGCAAGGACGCAACGAGGUGUGAAAAGUCACGCAAGGGACACGCAAGGGGGUCUCAAAGGAGGUCGCUCUGAAAACGCAGAAGCAUAAACUAGGUUUAACCCUCAUUGUUUUUAGCGUCUGUGUUUCAAAAUUUUAAAUUCAAAAAUUAAGUAGAACUGACAUUUUAUCUAUCAAUAGACAUUGUAACUUAAUUGUAACCAAAAUCAAAGAUCGAGGCACCAAAAACAAAAAAAUUCAUCAUCUUCCAAGUCCAUCUCUGAGCUCACACAAAUUGUGUGAAACAUUUUGUGGCAGUUGUCACAUUGAACCCACAACACCAACCCUUCUGGAUCCUUUGGAGGGUAAGGCUGUCUGCACCGUCCACAUCGCAACAGCUUCUUUUCCAACCGUUCCUUCUUAGCAGCUUGGUAGGCUACUGGGAGAAAAAGAAAAUGGGACAGGUGUGAGGAAACUGUUCAGUUUUUACAAGUGAAGACUGUUGGGCUCACAUACCGGUGGAGGUUGUAGGUUCAGCAGUUGAGGAAAGGGAGGCAGGAGACGAGGGAGCUACAGCCAUGAAGGAGGUCCGCCAAAGGUUGGAAGCUGUGCAAAUGAAGGGAAAAACAUGACUUGGCUAAAAUGUUUACUGUUUUCAUUCAUUAUUGCUGAUGUUUGUACCACGUUUAAAGUGUUGUUCAAAGUGUGUUACAGAUUUGAUGAAGUAUGUCUAAUGAUAACAGUAAGGAAACGAUAGCGAAAGGCCGGGAAAGGACCUCAGGACAAAUAUAUAAAAAAGGAAAUGCUUUCUCCAUCAAAACACCUAAUGGAACUUUACCGUCGUCAACUUUAUUGGAAGACAAGCUCAUGUUGGUUGAGGCGCGUUGGGAUGCAGAAGUGGGAUCACACGGGCCUGGAGGACCCGCGGCACCAGGACUUGUAGCAUCUGAACGGACCUUGCGGGGCCGUGGUCUUUUGCCGCCGAGACAAGAGCCCCCGGGAAAGGUGGAGGAGGAGACCGCCAGGUCCGUGUCUUCCGCUCCCCGUCGCGUCGCACUUCUGGCCUCCGCUCUUGCUGCGCUGUCCUCCACCUUCUGCAGGACAUCUGACAUCUCCCUCGCUGUCAGCACCUGGAAGCUUCUCCUGUCACUUUGGGCGUCGCAGGUUUCGUUGGUUUUGGACAAGACGCGGGCCAGUUCCGCUGUCACGAGGCCCGACGCUACCAGGGGAUGGGCCAGGUAGGGAUCGGAGGAGGGAGGCAGACUCUCGGGCGGUUGGAACUUGACCGAACCCCUUUUUGUGUGUGAUUUCGUAUGAGAUUCCAAAAGGUAGGAGCGCAUAUUCUGGGAGGUAAUGCGAUGCCGGUGCCGCUCCAUAAAGUUAAUCCACCAGGUUUGGCCUAGAACGGUCCUGGGUUGGUGCGGAUUACGAUAAUUAUAAAUUGCCAGAGCGUUGGUUAUGACCUGAUGCUUUCUCUGAGGACAUCCCUGACUGGCAGAGUACAAACAAUACUCCAACAGCGAACUCUCGUCCUCAGAGGUGAGAAGCGGUUUUUGGCCGUGCACGCAGUCGACGGCUACGCGUCCAGAGAGUCGGUCCGCCAGGCUGGACUUUGGGACGCCAAACUUCCUGGCUGCCUUUCUUGCGGUUUGCCUGCCUUCCUUCACCUCCUGGACGGCACGAACCAUGGCGUCCAGCGUCCAUUUGACCUUUUUAGACCCUUUCUUCCUCAACUCCCGGAUAUUGGGCAUCUGCGUGUUACAAGAAAAAAAAAA